GACGAACGCUGGCGGCGUGCUUAACACAUGCAAGUCGAACGGAAAGGCCCUGCUUUUGUGGGGUGCUCGAGUGGCGAACGGGUGAGUAACACGUGAGUAACCUGCCCUUGACUUUGGGAUAACUUCAGGAAACUGGGGCUAAUACCGGAUAGGAGCUCCUGCUGCAUGGUGGGGGUUGGAAAGUUUCGGCGGUUGGGGAUGGACUCGCGGCUUAUCAGCUUGUUGGGGGGUAGUGGCUUACCAAGGCUUUGACGGGUAGCCGGCCUGAGAGGGUGACCGGCCACAUUGGGACUGAGAUACGGCCCAGACUCCUACGGGAGGCAGCAGUGGGGAAUAUUGCACAAUGGGCGGAAGCCUGAUGCAGCAACGCCGCGUGCGGGAUGACGGCCUUCGGGUUGUAAACCGCUUUCGCCUGUGACGAAGCGUGAGUGACGGUAAUGGGUAAAGAAGCACCGGCUAACUACGUG
This 467-nucleotide ribosomal RNA is filed under the name uncultured bacterium. Its description in RNAcentral is "partial 16S ribosomal RNA". It matches the Rfam family "Bacterial small subunit ribosomal RNA", at positions 28 to 507 of the family's 1533-position model. The record is from RNAcentral.